CCCUUAGAUGUUCUGGGCCGCACACGCGCUACAAUGGCAAAGUCAACGAGCUAAUCCUAUGCCGACAAGCACAGGUAAUCUUUUCAGUCUUUGUCGUGAUGGGGAUAGACCCUUGUAAUUAUUGGUCUCCAACGAGGAAUUCCUAGUAAACGCAAGUCAUCAACUUGCAUUGAUUACGUCCCUGCCCUUUGUACACACCGCCCGUCGCACCUACCGAUUGAAUGGUCCGGUGAAGUCUUCGGACCGAUGCUAACUCGUUGGCAACGGAAAGUCGAGUAAACCUUACCAUUUAGAGGAAGGUGAAGUCGUAACA
Molecule: ribosomal RNA, 313 nt
Filed under: uncultured eukaryote
Lineage: Eukaryota
Description: partial 18S ribosomal RNA
Rfam family: Eukaryotic small subunit ribosomal RNA
Source: RNAcentral